GGGUUAGGCCACCGGCUUCGGGUGUUACCAACUUUCGUGACUUGACGGGCGGUGUGUACAAGGCCCGGGAACGUAUUCACCGCAGCGUUGCUGAUCUGCGAUUACUAGCGACUCCAACUUCAUGAGGUCGAGUUGCAGACCUCAAUCCGAACUGAGACCGGCUUUUUGGGAUUAGCUCCACCUCACAGUAUCGCAACCCUUUGUACCGGCCAUUGUAGCAUGCGUGAAGCCCAAGACAUAAGGGGCAUGAUGAUUUGACGUCGUCCCCACCUUCCUCCGAGUUGACCCCGGCAGUCUCCUAUGAGUCCCCGGCAUAACCCGCUGGCAACAUAGAACGAGGGUUGCGCUCGUUGCGGGACUUAACCCAACAUCUCACGACACGAGCUGACGACAACCAUGCACCACCUGUAAACCGGCCACAAGUGGGGGACCUGUUUCCAGGUCUUACCGGUUCAUGUCAAGCCUUGGUAAGGUUCUUCGCGUUGCAUCGAAUUAAUCCGCAUGCUCCGCCGCUUGUGCGGGCCCCCGUCAAUUCCUUUGAGUUUUAGCCUUGCGGCCGUACUCCCCAGGCGGGGCACUUAAUGCGUUAGCUACGGCGCGGAAAACGUGGAAUGUCCCCCACACCUAGUGCCCAACGUUUACGGCAUGGACUACCAGGGUAUCUAAUCCUGUUCGCUCCCCAUGCUUUCGCUCCUCAGCGUCAGUUACAGCCCAGAGACCUGCCUUCGCCAUCGGUGUUCCUCCUGAUAUCUGCGCAUUUCACCGCUACACCAGGAAUUCCAGUCUCCCCUACUGCACUCUAGUCUGCCCGUACCCACUGCAGACCCGGGGUUGAGCCCCGGGCUUUCACAGCAGACGCGACAAACCGCCUACGAGCUCUUUACGCCCAAUAAUUCCGGAUAACGCUUGCGCCCUACGUAUUACCGCGGCUGCUGGCACGUAGUUAGCCGGCGCUUCUUCUGCAGGUACCGUCACUUUCGCUUCUUCCCUGCUGAAAGAGGUUACAACCCGAAGGCCGUCAUCCCUCACGCGGCGUCGCUGCAUCAGGCUUUCG
RNAcentral lists this ribosomal RNA (1054 nucleotides) under Arthrobacter luteolus. Its description in RNAcentral is "partial 16S ribosomal RNA". Lineage: Bacteria; Bacillati; Actinomycetota; Actinomycetes; Micrococcales; Micrococcaceae. The record is from RNAcentral.